Molecule: non-coding RNA, 113 nt
Organism: Acanthosepion pharaonis
Lineage: Eukaryota; Metazoa; Mollusca; Cephalopoda; Sepiida; Sepiidae
Source: the annotation of a GenBank genome assembly
UACGGCCAGAUCACGUUGAAACAUUGGUUCCCGUUCGAUCACCGAAUUUAAACAACGUCGGGCCUAGUCACUACCUAAAUCGGUGACCGCUUAGGAACUCCAGGGGCUGUAUU